AAGACGGUGAUUAAACCUCAUUCUUUUGUCUUUACAAAUAGAGAUAUUUACAUGGAUGGGCGGCCAUUCAGAGUGAUCAUUCUGUAAUAUCUUUCUUUUAUCUCUAUAGAUAAAGAGAUAGUUGCAUUGCUGGGCGAACAUUAUCACCUGAUUUUGUGAGAAAUGACAUUUGCAGGAAACGCCCACUUUUUGCAAACGUCUGCUGUAAUUGCUAACAUUUAAACAUUCAGCCUACAAUAAAUAAUAAGUCUAUUCAAUGAAAGUAAAGGUCAGUGUUUAAUCAAAAAUGUUAAAGAAAUGAAUGAAAUAAUAAUUUUAAAAAAUUGGUUGAUCAAUUUAGUUUAAUACAGGUUCUCAUAUUCAUGGCUUUAUUUUCCUGUAAGGUGACAAGUGAUAAUCUCAAAGUUUUCUGGAUUUCUUAUCAUUCUUAUAUGAUUACUUGCUCUUUUUUUCCUACUGUGGGUUUUAGUCCAUCAUCCAGAUGGUGGUGGUUGAGGAGAUUCCCUCGCCCCCAUACAAUGAAUAGCGCUUUGAUUUUACAGGCUUGGUUGGUUUCAAAGGAUUUUACGAGGACGAGCUCGUGGCUCAUUGUUACUGUUACAUUUAUCUUUUCUUUCAGGUGGUAGGUUUGAGCUAUAUGGCGGUAGGUUGGCGGUAUAUGGCGGUAUAUGGCGGCAGGUAGAGUUCGACGUCGAUUAAGGUCUUCUUCGCUUAGCCUCUACGGUUUGUGGCUCCUUGCUUCCUUUAAAUUUAUUAUUUUUUUCUUUCAGGUGGCAGGUGGAGUUAGACGGCAGUAGGGAACCAUAGAGAAAGCCAGAUGGCGCAAAAUUCAGGAAAUUUUUUUUACAAAAUAUAGUUAUUUCUAUUUGCUUUUGUACAUAAAGUUGAAAGAACAAAGCUAUAUAAAAUAAAGCUCAAGCUGACAGGUUUUCUUUUGGGUUGCACUAUGUUUUCAUUCAUCAGUAUCUUCACAAAUAAACCCAGUCACUACACAUUAAGACGGUGAUUAAACC
Ictalurus punctatus (channel catfish) is the source of this 1013-nucleotide long non-coding RNA. NCBI's taxonomy places the organism in Eukaryota, Metazoa, Chordata, Actinopteri, Siluriformes, Ictaluridae. The record is from Ensembl.